Molecule: ribosomal RNA, 468 nt
Filed under: uncultured bacterium
Lineage: Bacteria
Description: partial 16S ribosomal RNA
Rfam family: Bacterial small subunit ribosomal RNA
Source: RNAcentral
GACGAACGCUGGCGGCGUGCUUAACACAUGCAAGUCGAACGGAAAGGCCCUGCUUUUGUGGGGUGCUCGAGUGGCGAACGGGUGAGUAACACGUGAGUAACCUGCCCUUGACUUUGGGAUAACUUCAGGAAACUGGGGCUAAUACCGGAUAGGAGCUCCUGCUGCAUGGUGGGGGUUGGAAAGUUUCGGCGGUUGGGGAUGGACUCGCGGCUUAUCAGCUUGUUGGUGGGGUAGUGGCUUACCAAGGCUUUGACGGGUAGCCGGCCUGAGAGGGUGACCGGCCACAUUGGGACUGAGAUACGGCCCAGACUCCUACGGGAGGCAGCAGUGGGGAGUAUUGCGCAAUGGGCGGAAGCCUGAUGCAGCAACGCCGCGUGCGGGAUGACGGCCUUCGGGUUGUAAACCGCUUUCGCCUGUGACGAAGCGUGAGUGACGGUAAUGGGUAAAGAAGCACCGGCUAACUACGUG